Molecule: long non-coding RNA, 3489 nt
Organism: Rhinopithecus roxellana (golden snub-nosed monkey)
Lineage: Eukaryota; Metazoa; Chordata; Mammalia; Primates; Cercopithecidae
Exons: 4
Source: RefSeq, a predicted model, not a curated record
UUUUACUUCUCCACAGAGGGUGUGGCCUGCUUCUCAGCGAGACGUAUUAUAUCUUUCUGCCAUUCGAAAGAUAUCAGCCUUGACUGAAAAUGACCCUGAAACUUGGAUAGUUUGUAAUUUUUCUGUGGAUCAUGACAGUGCUCCUCUAAACAACCGAUGUGUCCGUGCCAAAAUAAAUGUUGCUAUGAUUUGUCAAACCUUGGUAAGCCCACCAGAGGGAAACCAGGAAAUUAGCAGGGACAACAUUCUAUGCAAGAUUACAUAUGUAGCUAAUGUGAACCCUGGAGGAUGGGCACCAGCCUCAGUGUUAAGGGCAGUGGCAAAGCGAGAGUAUCCUAAAUUUCUAAAACGUUUUACUUCUUACGUCCAAGAAAAAACUGCAGGAAAGCCUAUUUUGUUCUAGUAUUAACAGUGACUGAAGCAAGGCUGUGUGACAUUCCAUGUUGGAGAAAAAAAGAAAAAAAAAAAGCUGAAUGCUCUAAGCUGGAACGUAGGAUCUAUAGCCUUGUCUGUGGCCCAAGACCUUGGCCUUGUGUACAAAAAUGACAAAAUACUGCAAUAGCAAAGCUGAACAUCUAACACUAGCUAUCUCCUGCUAGAUCUCCUUGCUCAGCAUAUAACUAUAAAUACAUGUAAAAUUACAUGUAUAUGGCUAUAUUUUUAUUUGCUUGCUCCUAGAAGAGAAAAAAAAAUCAACUUUGAAUCACAACUAGGAAUUGAUGCUUUAAUUUUUGGAUACUUUUCCAGAAUUUUUAAUUUACUAUGGUCCGGCCUAAGAUCCUCUGUUGUAUCAGGUUUUGUGCACAAAAGAAAAGCACAAAAGUUGAACGCACAUGGGGCAUGUGCUUUCUGUGCAGCAAAUAUCUGGAUGAGGUUCUUUUUUCAGGCCUACAGUCAAAUCUGUGUCCAGAAUUUUUUGACUUUUUUGCUUUGUAUAAUCAUAGAAUUCGUUGCUGCUGAUUUCUAUAAUGAUUCAUGUUGUCGUGUGUCUCUUAAUAACUGAGGGCUGUCAAUAACCUGUGAUUUUGCCUUUUCUAUAGUCUUACUCCCAUGAAGAACCUUGGUUCUGAUGGAGAAAGUGAAAAGCUUUAUUUCUUCCCCCAGAUAUCUUUAUAUUUCUAUUAUAUUUUUUAGUUGUGUACUGUGUGCUAGAUAUUUUUUUCAGUUUAUUACAAACACAAUUUGGUAAGCCCUAAAUUGGUUCUGCCUGUCUCCAAACAGAAAUAUCCGUACAAAUCUUGUUGGUAUAGACUACUUUCUGGAAAAUGGUCAAGAUAAGUUCAUGUUUUCUUUAAAUUUCUAAGAUAGUAUAUGGUAUAACUUGUUUAAAGCAAAUCAGACUGAGUUUGACAUUUAAUUCAAUAUUUCUGGUAUUCAGUAACGGGUAUAUAUGUUUGUUCUUCCAGUUUGGGUCAGUUUAAAAGAUAGGUUGCAAAGUAUACAUGGAAAAUGUGAGCAGUGCCUCUCUGCCUCUUGAUCAGAAACUUCAGCAGAGCAGUAAAGAUUCCACAUGAUUCAAACUGAAAUGAGUUUCUUUGUUGCUAUAUGAACUUAAAAUGUAAAAUACCUUUUUCAGUUUAAGUCCUGUGAACAACAUUGAAGCAUGGAGAUGAGGCAAGGAAUAGUACUCACUGAAGUUGAAAUGACUGCCCACUUCAAAAUCUUCAUUGUGUUUACACACCAGUGUAUUUAUACAAAUCAGAGGCAUUUUGUAGAUGCUUUGCUGACUUGUUCAGCUCUGUAAAAACACAGAAAUUGGACCCAUUUUGUAAAGCAGAAAGUUAUGUCACAUGGAACAUUUCCUGUAUAUAUCACAUACAUGGUAAUGGAGUCUUAAUGAUAAGUGCAAGAUAAUAAUUUAAUGAUGGGAUUAGUCUGAUCGCUUAAUAUGCACAAUCCUGGAAGUGAAUUACUUGCAUCAGAUAUAGUGAUAUUUAUUAUUCUGUACAGAGAGAAAAAUACAUAUAAAACAUAUGCUUACAUUACAUGCACGCAGAUUUCACGCUCCAUAAUCUUUUCUAUUUUUUAAUUUACCUAUCUGUAAAUGAUGUGCAUGGAAUAUGCCUUAUAGAAAAAUGCUGUUCAUAAUUUGACUACGUGGAAAAGUGCCUAUAUGGUGGUAAUGCUAGUAAGGCAAAUAAGACAAAUUAUCAUGUUGGUUUACUACAUCACCAGUUAACAUUUUAUAUUGUGAUGUUUAAAAAAGAAAAGUUUAUACCUCAAAUGUGUAUUUUAUUUUACAAUCAGCUGUGGGUUAUGGGGCUGGGAUGGGAGAAUGGGAGGGUUGGGGAGGGCAGGUUUAUUCACCAUAGCCACUGAUAAGAAUCUUCAAAAAAAUUCUGUAUGCUCACUACAAAUGUUUCUCUGUUUGCCAUUUCUGGUAACUGUCAUGAACACAGACAGUUAACUCUUUCAUUACUAAAUUGGAUAGCUUUAUUUUACAGAAGUAUGGAAAGUUUACAAAGCAAUAUCUAAAUCUAUCACUAGUUGCAUUUGGACUAAAUGUGAUGAUAUACUUUUGCAAUUGAUUCUGUAAAUAAAAUGAUUACACUAAAAUAUUUGUAUUAAAAGAAAAGAUAACAUUUUACCUUUAGAUAACUGCACUUGUACUUCACUAGAGUUAAUCCCACCCAAUCAGAUUGAGAAAUAAAUUGGUGAAUAUGGAAAGAGUCCAAAAGAGGUCAGAAUUUGGAGAGGUACUGGCCUUCUGGACAACAUUUAGAUCCUCUAGAAUUAUUUUCAUUAAGCUGAUUCCUACAUCCUGAAUAUUCAUGUUUUCUCAUCUACAGAUAUUUGUCUUCCCCCAAACCAAAAGAAAAAACUACCCUUUACUCUCUUUUCUACUCAGUUUAUCUUUUGUGCUAUGUUAGAAACUUGAAAUAUAUUGGUGAUGUGGGGUGUUAUCCCUGACUGCCGCUGCACAGGACAAGAGAGCACAGUGUUUCAGCUGGAAUUCAGGACUCCUCGUUUUGAGGUAGAGGAUGAUCACUGCAGUACUUGGUUUGGUAUUGCCACAGGGGUAACUAAACCAAAGGAGGGUUUUAUCUGCAAGGGAGGUGUAAGAAGGCAAAAUAAGGAAAAGGAGGAAUGGAUUUUCUCUUUGUUCAGUUUCAUCAACUAAUUUAUACACCUAAUACAACGUCAGUGUCAACUGCUAUUAAGAAAUUUUUAGUUGGGCUGAGCUGGUUCUCUUGUGAAAUUGUGCUGGUUAUCUUUAAGCUGAUCAGUUAUUUGUCCAGUUAAACACUUUUCACCAGUAUUUAGUCCGAGUUGUACAGACGAUGUAUUUGGAUUUUGUCAUGGUUCAUCUACAGACUGAAAACAUAAUCAUUUUAAAGUACCUUGGGAGUGUGUAGAGUAACUUCUAUAAUAGCUUUAUGAUCCUGAUGAUGUUUUUUAAACAUAAUAAAGUUGGAUCUUCCAUGUUACAAUCACAAAAUUAAAACCAGUAUUUAAAGUGGAAAAGUAUUAAAAUAUUAUGGACAAAUA